Molecule: ribosomal RNA, 228 nt
Filed under: uncultured bacterium
Lineage: Bacteria
Description: partial 16S ribosomal RNA
Rfam family: Bacterial small subunit ribosomal RNA
Source: RNAcentral
UACGUAGGCGGGCUUACAGGCGUUUUGUGAAAGCCCUCGGCUCAACCGAGGAAUUGCUUGACGAACCGUAAGUCUUGAGGCAAGUAGGGGCUGUCGGAACGAUAGGUGGAGUGGUGAAAUGCGUUGAUAUCUAUCGGAACGCCGAAGGAGAAAUCAGGCAGCUGGGCUUGUCCUGACGCUGAGGUACGAAAGCGUGGGUAGCGAACAGGAUUAGAUACCCUGGUAGUC